GGGAGGGGCAGUAGGCAAGGGAGAGACAGACUCUCAAGCAGACUCCGUGCUGAAUGUGGAGACCGACACGGGGCUCCCUCUCACGACCUUGAGAUCAGGACCUGAGCUGGAAUCAAGAGUCAGACACUGAACUGCUUUAGCCACCCAGA
Molecule: long non-coding RNA, 149 nt
Organism: Mustela erminea (ermine)
Lineage: Eukaryota; Metazoa; Chordata; Mammalia; Carnivora; Mustelidae
Exons: 3
Source: RefSeq, a predicted model, not a curated record